Molecule: transfer RNA, 85 nt
Filed under: Felis catus (domestic cat)
Lineage: Eukaryota; Metazoa; Chordata; Mammalia; Carnivora; Felidae
Rfam family: tRNA
About the family: Transfer RNA (tRNA) molecules are approximately 80 nucleotides in length. Their secondary structure includes four short double-helical elements and three loops (D, anti-codon, and T loops). Further hydrogen bonds mediate the characteristic L-shaped molecular structure. tRNAs have two regions of fundamental functional importance: the anti-codon, which is responsible for specific mRNA codon recognition, and the 3' end, to which the tRNAs corresponding amino acid is attached (by aminoacyl-tRNA synthetases). tRNAs cope with the degeneracy of the genetic code in two manners: having more than one tRNA (with a specific anti-codon) for a particular amino acid; and 'wobble' base-pairing, i.e. permitting non-standard base-pairing at the 3rd anti-codon position.
Source: Rfam by way of RNAcentral
GCCUGGGUGGCUCAGCUGGUUAAGCAUCUGACUUCGGCUCAGGUCAUGAUCUCGCAGUCUGUGAGUUCGAGCCCCACAUCGGGCU